Myotis daubentonii (Daubenton's bat) is the source of this 2173-nucleotide long non-coding RNA. RefSeq lists it as uncharacterized. The transcript is spliced from 2 exons. The record is from RefSeq and is a predicted model, not a curated record. Lineage: Eukaryota; Metazoa; Chordata; Mammalia; Chiroptera; Vespertilionidae.
CGGUGCAAAGGCCAGGCCCCACGCAGCAGAGGUGCGGACAGCCUGGGCAGCUUCAGUUCUGCGUGGGAGGCUGUUGCCGGCCUUUGGCUCCGGGUGUGGGAUGGCAUUUGUGCUCUGACGUGGCCUGAGGGGAGGUGGGUGUUCACUGGUUGGGAAUCCUGGCCGCGCUGGUCUGUGGGCGAGGGCAUGUGGGGCCUCUUUGCUUUCCUCUGGGCACUGUGGCGUUUCCCAGAGCCUCCCGAGUGCCCUCUGUGCUGCACAGACGGGGUUUGAACCGGUGAUGGCGUCAGUGGUUCCCAGAAGCAUGGGGUGGUGAAUGGGGAACAGGCCCACUUCUGUUACUGCAUGUCCUUCUCAGUCCACAGGGGGUGCAGCUGGACGGAGCUGUCCUUCCCAGCUCUGUGCGCCCUUGCUCUCCUGCUGGGCUCCCAGCCAGUGGCCGGCCCCGGCAGACCCUCCCCGCUGGGCCUCUCGCCCUCCCUGCAGUUCUGGGCGACCUCCUGGUCCCAGAGCACGGGUGCUGGUGGGGUGGCUUGGCCCCCCCCCCCCCCCCCCCCGUGUCUUCUCCUUCCCUCAGGGGACGUCUCAGGGAGGGUGGCCCGGCUCUGCACUUUGGGGGGAGGCGGGAGGGGGAGCCCCUGCUGGCUGGCCCGGGUGCAGGGGAAUUCUGGGGCAGAGCUGGCGGCCCGGCCCUCCUGGAAGCGUGCCUCUCAGAUGUCGGCCGAGUGAGAGUGAAACGGGCUUCUUUCAGAAGCUGCUGCCUGGGGUUGACCUUAAAAUGUCUGAAAAAUGAGCAGACGGGGCGGGGGGCAGAGGAGCGGGUUGUAUUUGGUGAGGCGGCCCCGCCUUGGGAGGCUCUGGGCACAGCGGGAGCGGCACAUGCAGGGUGUCCCAUGUCCAGGUCCUGAGUGGGGACCCAGAUCACCCUUCCUGUUUCCUGUGCAAGCUGGUGUCUGUCCUCCAAAGGCCUGAGUGAGUAACGGAUGUGAGGAAGGAACCCGACUGGGAAUCCCCUGAGCUGCCAGAGUGAGUCACCCCUUUCCAGCUUGCCAGGCUGGGGGUGUCACCCCUUCAGAGCUGGCAGGCGGGGGUGGGGCGGCACUUCCUGGUCAGGGCCCUGCCACCCACGCUCCCUCUCCCUCGGUUCUCAACUCCGCUCACCUGGCAGGCUGUCAUCAGAGUCAAAUUAAAACACAUAGAUGCGUGCGUGUGCGGGAAGACCCUGCGAAAGCAGAAAUGUUUCCGAUAAGCAAAAGCGUUUUCACGCCAGAAGCACCGGCAAGUCCUCCGGGAUCGUUUCCGUGACGUCCGCAGGCAGCUGGCUGCCUUCCCGGGAGCCGAGACCUGGCUCAGGAGAAAUCUCUGGACGUGGGCAGGACCAGGUGGCUCCAGUCAGCCCUCCUGCCUGGCCCCCGCUCUGGAGGCGUGACCCUCCGGGAUCACUGCAGAGGCAGGCGGGCAGUUUCCGGAUCGUGCAACGGAACCUCUUCUUUGCAACAAGAACCAUUUCCUGCAGGGAGUUCACAGCGGAGGGUUCUCAAAGGGGAAGCGUUCCUACACCUGAGAGCUCGCCUGGCCACGAGCUGCCCGUGGGAGGUUUCCUCGGCUGCUGGUGGCCAGCUCGGCCUGGGGUUCAUGGAGCGUGCAGCAGAGGCAGGGCGGCCGGGCUGCUGUCUCUCAGGGAAAUUCCGACUUGGAAACCCAGUCAUGACGGACACAGCGUGAUGCAAGCACUUCCCACGCCAUGUGGACUGGUCACAUGACGCAGCUUAAGCGCCUGCCUGCUCUUCCGGAUGAGUCCCCUGGAGGGGAGGUGCUGGGUGUGCUGUGUGACCAGGGAGAAGAAUCUUACCUCUGAGUCUCCAUGCUCUUUUCCGCACAAUGAAGAAUGCAGUUCCCUGCGGACGCUGGUGCGAGACGAGGCGCUGGUUGCCAGGUACUGAGCAAUGCCCGCGCUCAGUGAGAGACCCUCCGUUGGGUCUUGCCACGAGAGAAGCAUGCUGGCCUCGGGUCAGCACUCCCGGCGCUGCUCCUUUCUUUCUGGGCAAGACCCCUGCCUUGUUUCCAGAUGUUUCCAUUGCGUGUUCCACAUUUCCGUGUGUCUGGAGGCCAUAGUUUGUGCAUUUUUGGUUUUGUUGGUGGUAAAAUUCGUAUAAAAUUCGCCAUUAAACCA